GUUACUUCUUUGAGUAUUCCUCUCCGUCUGUUCAAGGUGCUCUUUACCCAGUGAAGGGAGAUGUGCAGCCUGCUCUUGUGCUGUACGAAUGCAUCUUUUGGUGCCUGGCACCGGAAGUAUGAGGAUAAUGGAGGAGAAACAAUAUUUGAAAUGUUUGGAGCCAGAAGCUAAUCUGUGGAAAAUUCUUCCAAUCUUCACAUAUGUAAAACUAAAAUUAUUUUAGACAAUUUUUGUCAUACAAAGAGAUAAUCAAGGAGUAUAUAUCCAAAAGAGGUGGCCCAUCUUGGCAAUGGCAGUGACACCAGAACAACCAGCACCUCAGCAGCAGUGGUGCCAACAUCCCCAGAAAACUCAGGAGCAGCAGCACAGGUGGAACAUUCAUCAGCAGCUCCCAAACCCAUAGAGAGCCUGCAGAGAGCCAGGAAGAAGUUCAAGCUCCUGAGCAGAGCAUAUGAUCUGACUCCUAUCUACCUCUCUGGACCCAUGUCCUUUUACCACUUAACUUGCAUUUCAUACUCCAGUACUGCCAUGCUGUUGUAUGAACACAUACAUUUCUCAAGUUCUUUCUUCUCUGCUUGUGUGUUUGCCACGUAUAUUCACAUGGUGAAUUCUGAUUCAUUCAUUGAAAUGAAAAUGAGAUAUCAAUGCCUCCCAGAAACUUUCCCUUUCAAUGCCAUUCUGAGUUAGAUGCCCCUCAUCAGGGUUCAUCUCUCUCAUUAUACUCCCUUGUAAUCGUUUGUUUGCUUUUCCCCAUAGUCUUCAUUAUGGACUUGGUACAUGGUGAAGGGAAGCAACAUGUUUUUGCUAUUCCAUCCCCUUAUAUAGUCACUGGGAUGUGUUGUCCUUCAAUAAAUAUUGAAUCAAUUACUGGAUGUGGAAAUGCAGCUAUUGGAAAUGUUAAUAAUGUGGGUUGUUGAUGUAAAAAAGUGUCCUGUGGGGAGGCAGAUUAGUGUAGAGGAAAGAACAUGAACUUAGAACUGCAGCAGAUAUGGUUCACGUCUUCACUUGACCAGUUGUUUAACUUCUGAGGCUUUGUUUUCUCAUCUGAGAAAGAGCGAAAAGAAAAUCUAUCCUUCACUGUUCUUAAGAGAUUUGGAAAUAAAAUAAUGUUUGUAAGACACCUGGCAUGCAGAGUUCAUCCCAUUAAUGUUAGUGAGAAGUCAUAAUGAUGG
This 1172-nucleotide long non-coding RNA is filed under the name Equus caballus (horse). RNAcentral describes it as "lncRNA (ENSECAG00000035738.3)". The record is from RNAcentral. Lineage: Eukaryota; Metazoa; Chordata; Mammalia; Perissodactyla; Equidae.